Molecule: non-coding RNA, 169 nt
Filed under: Clostridium bornimense
Lineage: Bacteria; Bacillati; Bacillota; Clostridia; Eubacteriales; Clostridiaceae
Description: Lysine sequence
Rfam family: Lysine riboswitch aptamer
About the family: Riboswitches are metabolite binding domains within certain messenger RNAs that serve as precision sensors for their corresponding targets. Allosteric rearrangement of mRNA structure is mediated by ligand binding, and this results in modulation of gene expression.
Source: Rfam by way of RNAcentral
GCCUAUGGUAGAGGUGCUAAAGUCAAUAGUAGUUAUUUUUAGUGGGUACACAGUGAGAAAUAAUGAAAGGGACAAUGGCCGAAGUGAAUGGAUAGACGUUGAAGUUCACUGGCAUUAUAAAUAAUAUUUAUGAUGUUGUCACUAAUUUUCGUGGAGAGCUACAAAGGUU